AUCUAUUAGUCUUGACCAAAUCAUGUGCCAGCCGUCGCGGUAAGACAUGGAAGACGAGCGCUAUUCAUCUUUAACAGGUUUAAAGGGUACUUAGACAGUUAAUUAAGCCUACAUAAGGGACUAACUAACUAGAGUUUAAUAGGAAAAGGAUAGAACGGUAUGUGGAGAGAUAAAAUAUUUUGAUACUUGCUAAAAUCUGACAACGGCGAAGGCAACCUUUUAUGUAAAAACUGACGUUAAAGGACGAAGGCUAUAAAUAAAGAAUAGGAUUAGAUACCCUAGUAUUCGUAGCAGUAAAUGAUGAGUGUCAUAGGUAAGUAAUAGCUUACGUAUAAAUGAAAGUGUAAACAUUCCACCUUAAGAGUAAAAUGGCAACAUAGGAACUGAAAUCAUUAGACCGUUUCUGAAACCAGUAGUGAAGUAUGUUAGUUAAAUUGAUGAUCCACAAAGAACCUUACCACAAUUUGAAUGUAAAUUCACAGGAGUUGCACGGCUGUCUUCAGUUGAUAUCGUGAGAUUUUGGUUAGCUCCAUUUAAUCAA
RNAcentral lists this ribosomal RNA (541 nucleotides) under Porina lucida. Its description in RNAcentral is "SSU rRNA". It matches the Rfam family "Bacterial small subunit ribosomal RNA", at positions 482 to 1096 of the family's 1533-position model. Lineage: Eukaryota; Fungi; Ascomycota; Lecanoromycetes; Ostropales; Porinaceae. The record is from RNAcentral.